GUGGGGAAUCUUCCGCAAUGGACGAAAGUCUGACGGAGCAACGCCGCGUGAACGAUGACGGCCUUCGGGUUGUAAAGUUCUGUUAUACGGGACGAAUGGUACGACGGCCAAUACCCGUCGUAAGUGACGGUACCGUAAGAGAAAGCCACGGCUAACUACGUGCCAGCAGCCGCGGUAAUACGUAGGUGGCAAGCGUUGUCCGGAAUUAUUGGGCGUAAAGGGCGCGCAGGCGGCGUCGUAAGUCGGUCUUAAAAGUGCGGGGCUUAACCCCGUGAGGGGACCGAAACUGCGAUGCUAGAGUAUCGGAGAGGAAAGCGGAAUUCCUAGUGUAGCGGUGAAAUGCGUAGAUAUUAGGAGGAACACCAGUGGCGAGAGCGGCUUUCUGGACGACAACUGACGCUGAGGCGCGAAAGCCAGGGGAGCAAACGGGAUUAGAAACCCUGGUAGUCC
This 450-nucleotide ribosomal RNA is filed under the name uncultured bacterium. RNAcentral's name for it is "partial 16S ribosomal RNA". It matches the Rfam family "Bacterial small subunit ribosomal RNA", at positions 354 to 796 of the family's 1533-position model. The record is from RNAcentral.